GGUUGAGAAUCACUUGUGUAGUCUAUCAACUAAUGUAACAUAAUAUAGAAAAUUACAAAAAUUGUUUUUCUUCGUUCACGAACAACCCCGGAAGGAGGAGAGGAAGGAGCUGUUGCCCUAUCGUGUUGUACAACGAUGCCGCCACAAGUUGGCGAUUUAUACCGUUUCGUGGUGGCUGGCACAAACAAAAAAAGAACAAGUCUGUUGAAGAAUUUGAUUUCCGCGAUUAUUCCUCAGAAAUGACCACGAAACGGUAAGAAAACACUGGGUUUUCUUUUUGUUUGUUUUUUGUUUGUUCACGAACGACCCCGGAAGUGGUACAGGAAAAUAGCCGUUGCCCUAUCUUGUAGUACAAUGAUACCGCCACAAGAUGGCGGUUAAUACGGUGUCGUGAUGGCUAGCGAACAAAAACAAAAAAACGAGCCGUUGAAGAGUUUGGUUCCCGCAAAAAAAUCCCAGAAAUGACCACGAAACGGUAAGGAAACACUGUUGUUUAUUCGAAUCAUUUCAUGUUCGUUGUGGAAUAUGUCGUGUGGCUCUCAAGUUACUUGAACGGCGGUUGAGGGAGUUUAAGCUUCAAGUCAUUUUAGUGCAGGUGUGCUUAAUUGAAUGCAUUGUUCCACGAUGCCUUGUAUCUGCUGCUCCUGCUCCAUGUCAACUGCACCAUGUGGUUGACUUUCCGCCGUUGAAGGUACAAGUGAAUGCCAACCAAACCGGGAUUUUGCCGUAACAGUACAUGCUUUGACAUGUCAGUCGGGGGCAAAUGUUUUCAGCACAUCAGGAUGGACCAAGUGUCUUUUCCACAAAACAAUGGCAUGGGGAAAAUAAGGCGGAGAAUGCCAGGCUGUGUGAAAGGGGACAUCAGAGACAUUUUCCAUCGCCGUUGCCCCAUUUUGUGUGGACCAAACUGGCAAGCCUCUGGGACUUCCCGCCCACCGAGGGGAGGAGCCGCAGCUCGCCCCG
Hippocampus comes (tiger tail seahorse) is the source of this 963-nucleotide long non-coding RNA. RefSeq lists it as uncharacterized. The transcript is spliced from 5 exons. NCBI's taxonomy places the organism in Eukaryota, Metazoa, Chordata, Actinopteri, Syngnathiformes, Syngnathidae. The record is from RefSeq and is a predicted model, not a curated record.